This 253-nucleotide ribosomal RNA is filed under the name uncultured bacterium. RNAcentral's name for it is "partial 16S ribosomal RNA". It matches the Rfam family "Bacterial small subunit ribosomal RNA", at positions 524 to 776 of the family's 1533-position model. The record is from RNAcentral.
GACGAAGGUGGCAAGCGUUGUUCGGAAUCACUGGGCGUAAAGAGUUCGUAGGCGGCUGAGCAAGUCGGGUGUGAAAGCCUCCGGCUCAACUGGAGAAUUGCGCCCGAUACUGCACAGCUUGAGGGCAGGAGGGGAGAGUGGAAUUCCUGGUGUAGCGGUGAAAUGCGUAGAUAUCAGGAGGAACGCCGGCGGCGAAGGCGACUCUCUGGUCUGCUCCUGACGCUGAGGAACGAAAGCCAGGGGAGCGAACGGG